AUCUAUCGCCUAAUUUGGUAAGGCACCGGCUCUUUUGGGGCCGGAAUCCCGGUUCGAUUCCGGGUAGAU
This 69-nucleotide transfer RNA is filed under the name Kerstersia gyiorum. Its description in RNAcentral is "tRNA-Lys". It matches the Rfam family "tRNA". Rfam says of the family: Transfer RNA (tRNA) molecules are approximately 80 nucleotides in length. Their secondary structure includes four short double-helical elements and three loops (D, anti-codon, and T loops). Further hydrogen bonds mediate the characteristic L-shaped molecular structure. tRNAs have two regions of fundamental functional importance: the anti-codon, which is responsible for specific mRNA codon recognition, and the 3' end, to which the tRNAs corresponding amino acid is attached (by aminoacyl-tRNA synthetases). tRNAs cope with the degeneracy of the genetic code in two manners: having more than one tRNA (with a specific anti-codon) for a particular amino acid; and 'wobble' base-pairing, i.e. permitting non-standard base-pairing at the 3rd anti-codon position. The record is from RNAcentral. Lineage: Bacteria; Pseudomonadati; Pseudomonadota; Betaproteobacteria; Burkholderiales; Alcaligenaceae.